Triticum aestivum (bread wheat) is the source of this 117-nucleotide non-coding RNA. Lineage: Eukaryota; Viridiplantae; Streptophyta; Magnoliopsida; Poales; Poaceae. The record is from Rfam.
AACAUACUCCCUCUGUCCGAAAAUACUUGUCGUCAAAAUGAAUAAAAAAGAAAUGUAUCUAGUACAUCUCUUUUUAUCCAUUUUGAUGACAAGUACUUCCGGACGAGAGAGUACAUG